AACGAACGCUGGCGGCAGGCUUAACACAUGCAAGUCGAACGGUUGUAGCAAUACAGCAGUGGCAGACGGGUGAGUAACACGUGGGAACCUUCCUAGGGGUACGGAACAACUCAGGGAAACUUGAGCUAAUACCGUAUACGUCCGUGAGGAGAAAGAUUUAUCGCCCUUAGACGGGCCCGCGUAGGAUUAGGUAGUUGGUGGGGUAAUGGCCUACCAAGCCUACGAUCCUUAGCUGAUCUGAGAGGANGAUCAGCCACACUGGGACUGAGACGCGGCCCAGACUCCUACGGGAGGCAGCAGUGGGGAAUCUUGGACAAUGGGCGCAAGCCUGAUCCAGCCAUGCCGCGUGAGUGAAGAAGGCCUUCGGUUGUUAA
RNAcentral lists this ribosomal RNA (374 nucleotides) under uncultured bacterium. RNAcentral's name for it is "bacterial SSU rRNA". It matches the Rfam family "Bacterial small subunit ribosomal RNA", at positions 29 to 429 of the family's 1533-position model. The record is from RNAcentral.